Molecule: long non-coding RNA, 2052 nt
Organism: Nannospalax galili (Upper Galilee mountains blind mole rat)
Lineage: Eukaryota; Metazoa; Chordata; Mammalia; Rodentia; Spalacidae
Exons: 6
Source: RefSeq, a predicted model, not a curated record
CCGCGGCCUGACAGCCCCAAUUAAACAGCGGCUCCCGCGGCCGCGCGCCCGGGCGUCCUUUGGGAGGCGGGGCCGCGAGGCCGGCGCCCGGGCUUAAAGGCACCGCGCCUCCGCCGCCCCUCCCCGCGGGGUGCGGGCCCCGAGACCAGGCCCGACCUAUACCGCGCUGAACCCCGAGCUGGCUACGAUCUGCCCCAGGGGCCCCAGCCCAGAUGCCCUCCCGGAUCCCUUCUGAGGAGCUUAGAUCUGAGCCCCACGGCAAAGAUGCCCUGAGUAGAAGUGUCCAGCUCAUCAGGGUAUCACUGAAGGGAAGGGUGGAAGAGUGAGCAAAGGCCCCCAUAACAUGUCUGCAUCCCUCAGUUAUUGCUAAGCACCCCCAGACUUCCUCAGUUUGGAUGCCCAAUGGUGUGUACAGUGUUCUACUUCUUCCAAUUUGGUCUCAUCCGUAAUCACCUGGAACCCACAAGGCACGUGUGGAGCUGCCGUCCCUGUCUGUGCACUUCUAACCUAGAAUGACACAGAGAAGGGCAAGCCUGGCCACAAUGGAUCUCUGUGGUUUGAAGUUCCUUAUGGAAGAAGAAUCCAUCCUUGGCCCACCCCUGCCUUCCUCCUAACAGGAGGCUGCUAGUUCCCAGAUGACAAUGAUUCCCCACCAGGGUGAGCAGAGCAGGGCUCUUCUGACCGUUCUACAGAUGGGAAAGCUGAGGCCCAGGAAGGGAAGUGUCUUGCCCACAGGGCCGGCACUGGGCCCAGCCACUUACUCAUAUACCCACAGGACCUGGGCCUUGCAUCUGGACUUUAUGUCAGCUCUGGGAGGGCUUCCAACUUCUUUGAUGGAUGAAGAAACUGAGGCCCACGGUCACAAGACAAGCUGUGGCAGAGGACCGGGUCCUGGACUAAAAUCCAGAGGUCCUUUUUCAUAGCCAGGUGUCCCCAACUAGUUCCAGGCACCUCUGUUUAUUUCCUAUCCCCCCUCCAGGGAGGGCACUGGCAGGGUGGGGGACAGACUGGGGGUAGGGAUAAGAAGGCAGCUGUUUACUUCCAUAGAGGGGCUGUUAACUACCUUUCUACUUUUAUAGCAGACAUGGGUAAUUCACCCAGGACCUGAAAAUCUUUGACCUUGGUCAUCACUCCACAGACCAGGCUUUCUAACUGCUCCCCUGGGUCCCUCCAGCCUUUUUCAAGGGCUCCUGCCUCCAACUCCACAGCCCUGUCCCCACACAACAGCCUGAGGAUGUCUGAGAAUGCUUGUGAGCUGGGUCCUUCCCUGCUCCCCAGCCUAAAGCUGCUCCUGGCAUAGUCUGGGCUACUGGCUCUGAGUCUCUGUCCUUCCCUGAGUCUCAGCUGCACUCCACUCUCUUUUGCUCUCUGUCUGGGCUCUGACAAAGUCCAUGUGGCUUCCUCUGCAGUACCUUUGCCUCAGAGGUUCUUGCUUGGGGAGACGGAGAUUGUGGGAGGAUAAUGGAAGGAUGGACAUACAACUCAUGAGUCCCUUUGCUAGAGCUCAUCUCUCCCAGUUCUUUCUUUUGACUGCCUUCUUAUCCUUCCCAGAUCCACUUGUCCCCCUGUAGGCCAGAGUGUGUUCCUAUAAAGUAGCUGGGACAGGAUUAGAACUCACCCCAACAUACUUUUUUCUAGAAACUUGUCAACCAUAAGCAUGUGGUCUUAUGAUUUAAAAUGUUUUUGGAUCUCCUGUCACAUAGCAUGAUUCCGGAAACCUCUCACUUCCAUUCUCCACGUGGCCUUCAGCAUGUCCCGUCUGACCUACGUAGAGUUGCUCAGUGGGAGUCCCUGGAAUCAGAUAGCUCCCUACUAUGCCCCUCUCCCCACAUGGCAGAGUCUCCUGCCAGGUGCCCUGUACCCUUCCCCCAAAGGCUGAGCCACCACUCUGGACUCUUUGUGGACCAAGUGGUCUCUAGGGUCCCAAGCCUAGGUUCCAGGCCCAUAUACCAGCACCCCUCAAGCCUGGAGGAGGGGCGAGGAGGGUUUCUGACUCAGCCAGAAGCCCCAUCUGCUGACACUGAAGUCAUCUCUAGAGAGCCAGAAGCUACU